GCUGGGUGUAGUGGGUGUUCACCUGUAUUCCCAGUUACUCAGGAGGCUGAGGUGGGAGGAUUGCUUGAGCCCAGGGGGGUGACGGUGCAGUAAGCAGUGAUUGUGCCACUGCAUUGCAGCCUGGGCAACAGAGCAAGACCCUGUCUCUA
Pongo abelii (Sumatran orangutan) is the source of this 149-nucleotide unclassified non-coding RNA. It matches the Rfam family "Metazoan signal recognition particle RNA". Rfam says of the family: The signal recognition particle (SRP) is a universally conserved ribonucleoprotein. It is involved in the co-translational targeting of proteins to membranes. The record is from Ensembl. NCBI's taxonomy places the organism in Eukaryota, Metazoa, Chordata, Mammalia, Primates, Hominidae.